Molecule: long non-coding RNA, 1291 nt
Filed under: Felis catus (domestic cat)
Lineage: Eukaryota; Metazoa; Chordata; Mammalia; Carnivora; Felidae
Description: lncRNA (ENSFCAG00000049170.1)
Source: RNAcentral
CGGGGACCGGCCUCAGAGGGAGGAAAGCCCCUCUGCCUGCCUGUGGAACCAGGGCAAAGCCCCAGUGCCCACUCCUCCUGUCGCUGGAGGCCGUUCGCGGACGGCUGUCGUUCCAAAGACACUUCCUCCACCAGAACCCUGUUUCCCUCCCUCGCAGGUUUCUGGGACCUCGGAGGCCCCACCCUGGGUUCUCUGACCCCCAACCUCUGCUUUGCUCUGGUGGGACAGUCAUGUGCCCUGGACCAGAGUUGCGGGCGCCGCUGGCCCUGGCCGAGGGACUUCCUAGCCCCGUGGUCUCCUGUCCACGGGUCACAGUCACCUCCUGCCAUAGUAACCCUCCUGCCCGUGACCCAUCCUCAUUGUCCCGUGUCACCACCUGACAUCUUCCCAGUGUCUCUUCUGGAACCAGAGAUUUGCUGGCCCCUCUGGGCUUGGUUCUGAUAACUGAGAAGCCAGGGGUUCUGUGUGCCCAGCCGCCCGGCAGGGAGGUCCCUCGCCCUGUGUGUCUGUGGUUCUGCUGUCCCUGGCGAGGCAGAGCCUCCUGACAGAACAGCCCCAGCAAGACGGGCUGAGGGACUCAGGAGCACCCGCUUUCUUUCUGGUAGACGGCUUUGACCGUGCACGGACUUGUGACCCGUCCACUGUCCUGCAGACAUGGGCUGGGCUACUUGGGGCCUCGGCUGCUGUAGAGAGAAGAUGCCGUGCCCGUGCAGCCCCCGCCCUUUCUGUGUCCUGCAAGGACACCGCCCCGGGUGUGGGGAGUGCCAGGAAAGGGGACCGAGCCCGAGGCCCCUGGGGACGCACAAGCAUCGCCGGUGCGGCUCGUGCCGCGGAGGCGGUUCAGCACAGGCCCGCUCUGCCCGACUGCCCGCACUGCUCUCUCCCGGUUGUUUCAUUUACGAGGGUGUCACUGGGCAGUAACAUGCGCGUCGGGGAUGCCGCCCCCCACCCCGAGGCCCCGCGAGUGCAGAUGGGUUCGAGUGGAGCAGGGACAGCGCUGUUACGGGCAGGUGAGGAGCAGGGAGGCCGCCUGGUCGCCGGUCUCCCCGGGGUGUGGAACCGGGCACGUCUGGACAAGACGUCCGAGGAGGGGUGCUGCGGCAGUGCGGGCCCAGCAGCUCAGUGUGCCACGUGAUCUAGUCUGUACUCGAACCGGAGGAAUAAAAAGUGACCUCUGGUUUCCAGAAACUUGGGAACAAAACCAAAAUAACAAUGUGGUUUGUGUCUGUAGGGGGGUGGCCGGGGGCUCUGGAACCCACCGUCUGGGGUCCAGAGGGCCCUUCCACUGCUU